AGAGUUGAUCAUGGCUCAGGAUGAACGCUGGCGGCGUGCUAACACAUGCAAGUCGAACGAAGCUCCCGAUUGAGUUUCGGACAAGAUGAAGGGAUGACUUAGUGGCGGACGGGUGAGUAAUGCGUGAGCAACCUGCCCUUCAGUGGGGGACAACAGUUGGAAACGACUGCUAAUACCGCAUAAAGUAUUCGGAAGGCAUCUUUUGAAUACCAAAGAUUUUAUCGCUGAAGGAUGGGCUCACGUCUGAUUAGCUAGUUGGUGAGGUAAUGGCUCACCAAGGCUGCGAUCAGUAGCCGGACUGAGAGGUUGACCGGCCACAUUGGGACUGAGAUACGGCCCAGACUCCUACGGGAGGCAGCAGUGGGGAAUAUUGGGCAAUGGGCGCAAGCCCUGACCCAGCAACGCCGCGUGAAGGAAGAAGGCGUUUCGGGUUAGUAAACUUUCUUUUAGCGAGGGAACGAAACAAAUGACGGUACCUGCAGAAUAAGCACCGGCUAACUACGUGCCAGCCGCGGC
Molecule: ribosomal RNA, 516 nt
Filed under: uncultured bacterium
Lineage: Bacteria
Description: bacterial SSU rRNA
Rfam family: Bacterial small subunit ribosomal RNA
Source: RNAcentral